UUCCCAGUCCUAUGUGAGGCGUACCUUGUUCUGACAGUGGAUGGGGAUAACGUUGGUUUGGACUCUGCUCUGGCCGGCAUCAGGGACGGAGGCAUUGUUGGUUGGAGGCUGAAACAAAACCCAGACCAUCAGCAUUAUCACCUUAACCUAACCCAGACGGACCAAUCAGCAUUAUCGCCUUAACCUAACCCAGACGGACCAAUCAGCAUUAUCACCUUAACCAAACCCAGACGGACCAAUCAGCAUUAUCACCUUAACCUAACCCAGACGGACCAAUAAGCAUUAUCACCUUAACCUAACCCAGACAGACCAAUAAGCAUUAUCACCUUAACCUAAUCCAGACGGACCAAUCAGCAUUAUCGCCUUAACCUAACCCAGACGGACCAAUAAGCAUUAUCACCUUAACCUAACCCAGACAGAGCAAUCAGCAUUAUCACCUUAACCUAACCCAGACGGACCAAUCCGCAUUAUCGCCUUAACCAAACCCAGACAGACCAAUCCGCAUUAUCACCUUAACCUAACCCAGACGGACCAAUCAGCAUUAUCGCCUUAACCAAACCCAGACAGACCAAUCCGCAUUAUCGCCUUAACCAAACCCAGACAGACCAAUCAGCAUUAUCAUAUUAACCUAAACCAGACAGACCAUCAGCAUUAUCAUAUUAGCCUCACCCAGACUGACCAAUCAGCAUUAUCGCCUUAACCUAACCCAGACCAAUCAGCAUUAUCAUAUUAGCCUCACCCAGACUGACCAAUCAGCAUUAGCACCUUAACCUAACACGGACCAAUAAGCACUGUUGUCAUUAUCAGGUUAUCACCCUGAAACUGUUUCUGUGAAGUGUCCCUCAGUGGUAACCUCUAUCACCACACAGUCAAAACUACAGGAAGUAGAAUCAUGGAGAGACUUCUUCUUUGGUUUAAUACAUUCAUACAGGCUAUGUUUCAGGUCUGGAGGGUCUGUGGAUAGAGGCUGUGUUUCAGGUCUGGAGGGUCUGUGGAUAGAGGCUGUGUUUCAGGUCUGGAGGGUCUGUGGAUAGAGGCUGUGUUUCAGGUCUGGAGGGUCUGUGGAUAGAGGCUGUGUUUCAGGUCUGGAGGGUCUGUUGAAACAGGCUGUGUUUCAGGUCUGGAGGGUCUGUGGAUAGAGGCUGUGUUUCAGGUCUGGAGGGUCUGUGGAUAGAGGCUGUGUUUCAGGUCUGGAGGGUCUGUGGAUAGAGGCUGUGUUUCAGGUCAAGAGGGUCUGUGGAUAGAGGCUGUGUUUCAGGUCUGGAGGGUCUGAUGAAACAGGCUGUGUUCUGGCACAUAAGAAACCAUAAGAUCACAGGAUGGUUAAGAAUCAUAAAGGGGGGGGGGUUCCUUCCGAGGGUAGAGACUUACGAGUUGUUGCUGGAACUCUCGAUAUCGAACACGGUUGGACCCAGAAGUGAAUCACACAGCUGACCAAAUUACACAAGACUUUACUUCUACGUUAACCAAGCUUAAUCAACAGUGUAAACUAGAUUUGUGUGGGGUUAGGUGUACAUACCCUUGGUCUGAAGUUGAUGAUCCUGUUGAGCUUGGCGAUCAGGCAGGGUUUCCCAUCCUUGAAGCCGAAGUUUUCGUCGUGACCAUCCAGACCAGAACAGGGUCCCAGCCAGGUCCGCUUGAACCUGCAGGCCUUCCUCACUCCAACGUCACUCUCCAGCUCACCACGGUCCACGUACGAUGCAGGUAAUUCUACAAGCACAGAGAGACACCUAUUAGAUCAGACAAUAUAGACCAGACACAGCAUAACUAAACCCUAACAGGAUACCUU
Molecule: long non-coding RNA, 1789 nt
Filed under: Salmo salar (Atlantic salmon)
Lineage: Eukaryota; Metazoa; Chordata; Actinopteri; Salmoniformes; Salmonidae
Description: lncRNA (ENSSSAG00000085840.1)
Source: RNAcentral